GCUAGUUACCGCAUCACCUGAUCACUGAUGGCUCAACGGUAUCUGGCGGAACAAGUAAAUAAUGUAGCUGCCUUUUGAGCGGGUUUGCUGCAGACCGAAACGGAGGUUUCCGUUUGGACUGCGGUUGGUUUUUCACACCCAUUUUGCGGCAGC
Molecule: non-coding RNA, 153 nt
Filed under: human gut metagenome
Description: DUF2800 RNA
Rfam family: DUF2800 RNA
About the family: Actinobacteria, Firmicutes, Synergistetes (1 example). Terminator (Clostridia)
Source: RNAcentral